RNAcentral lists this ribosomal RNA (254 nucleotides) under uncultured bacterium. Its description in RNAcentral is "partial 16S ribosomal RNA". It matches the Rfam family "Bacterial small subunit ribosomal RNA", at positions 524 to 776 of the family's 1533-position model. The record is from RNAcentral.
UACGGGGGGGGGUAAGCGUUGUUCGGAAUUACUGGGCGUAAAGGGCUCGUAGGCGGCCAACUAAGUCGGACGUGAAAUCCCUCGGCUUAACUGGGGAACUGCGUCCGAUACUGGAUGGCUUGGAUUCGGGAGAGGGAUGCGGAAUUCCAGGUGUAGCGGUGAAAUGCGUAGAUAUCUGGAGGAACACCGGUGGCGAAGGCGGCAUCCUGGACCGAUAUUGACGCUGAGGAGCGAAAGCCAGGGGAGCAAACGGG